RNAcentral lists this microRNA precursor (167 nucleotides) under Pelobates cultripes (western spadefoot toad). The record is from RNAcentral. Lineage: Eukaryota; Metazoa; Chordata; Amphibia; Anura; Pelobatidae.
GCAGACACAUUACAGCCAAUCAGCAGCAGACCCUCCCUCCCAUACCCUCCCACCUCCUGGACAGCUCACUAAGAAUGCAGCUUCACAAUGAAUGUAAAAUGGAUGCUGUCCAGGAGGUGGGAGGGUCUGGGAGGGAGGGUCUGCUGCUGAUUGGCUGGAAUGUGUCU